RNAcentral lists this ribosomal RNA (784 nucleotides) under uncultured bacterium. Its description in RNAcentral is "bacterial SSU rRNA". It matches the Rfam family "Bacterial small subunit ribosomal RNA", at positions 48 to 849 of the family's 1533-position model. The record is from RNAcentral.
AUGAGAAUGCAAGUCGAACGAACGACCUCGGGCUUGCCUGGGGAAGUGAGUGGCGGACGGCUGAGUAACGCGUAGGUGACCUGCCCAGAAGUGGGGAAUAACUGCCCGAAAGGGUGGCUAAUACCGCAUGUGGCCACACGUUCAUUCGUGUGACUAAAGCCGCAAGGCGCUUCUGGAGGGGCCUGCGUUCGAUUAGCUCGUUGGUGAGGUAACGGCUCACCAAGGCGACGAUCGAUAGGUGGUCUGAGAGGACGAUCGCCCAGACUGGGACUGAGACACGGCCCAGACUCCUACGGGAGGCAGCAGUCGGGAAUUUUGCUCAAUGGGCGAAAGCCUGAAGCAGCAACGCCGCGUGAGGGAUGAAGGCCUUCGGGUUGUAAACCUCUUUUCUCAGGGACGAUAAUGACGGUACCUGAGGAAUAAGCCACGGCUAACUACGUGCCAGCAGCCGCGGUAAUACGUAGGUGGCAAGCGUUGUCCGGAUUUACUGGGCGUAAAGAGUGCGCAGGCGGUCGAGUAAGUCGAAUGUGAAAGCCCCCGGCUCAACUGGGGAGAGUCAUUCGAUACUGUUCGACUCGAAGGUAGGAGAGGGAAGCGGAAUUCCCGGUGUAGUGGUGAAAUGCGUAGAUAUCGGGAGGAACACCAGUGGCGAAGGCGGCUUUCUGGCCUAUUCUUGACGCUGAGGCACGAAAGCUAGGGGAGCGAACGGGAUUAGAUACCCCGGUAGUCCUAGCUGUAAACGAUGGACACUAGAUGUUGGUGGUAUCAACCCCGCCAGUGUCGU